RNAcentral lists this ribosomal RNA (1372 nucleotides) under uncultured bacterium. RNAcentral's name for it is "bacterial SSU rRNA". It matches the Rfam family "Bacterial small subunit ribosomal RNA", at positions 28 to 1381 of the family's 1533-position model. The record is from RNAcentral.
GAUGAACGCUGGCGGCGUGCCUAAUACAUGCAAGUCGAGCGAACGGACGAGAAGCUUGCUUUUCUGAUGUUAGCGGCGGACGGGUGAGUAACACGUGGAUAACCUACCUAUAAGACUGGGAUAACUUCGGGAAACCGGAGCUAAUACCGGAUAAUAUUUUGAACCGCAUGGUUCAAAAGUGAAAGACGGUCUUGCUGUCACUUAUAGAUGGAUCCGCGCUGCAUUAGCUAGUUGGUAAGGUAACGGCUUACCAAGGCAACGAUGCAUAGCCGACCUGAGAGGGUGAUCGGCCACACUGGAACUGAGACACGGUCCAGACUCCUACGGGAGGCAGCAGUAGGGAAUCUUCCGCAAUGGGCGAAAGCCUGACGGAGCAACGCCGCGUGAGUGAUGAAGGUCUUCGGAUCGUAAAACUCUGUUAUUAGGGAAGAACAUAUGUGUAAGUAACUGUGCACAUCUUGACGGUACCUAAUCAGAAAGCCACGGCUAACUACGUGCCAGCAGCCGCGGUAAUACGUAGGUGGCAAGCGUUAUCCGGAAUUAUUGGGCGUAAAGCGCGCGUAGGCGGUUUUUUAAGUCUGAUGUGAAAGCCCACGGCUCAACCGUGGAGGGUCAUUGGAAACUGGAAAACUUGAGUGCAGAAGAGGAAAGUGGAAUUCCAUGUGUAGCGGUGAAAUGCGCAGAGAUAUGGAGGAACACCAGUGGCGAAGGCGACUUUCUGGUCUGUAACUGACGCUGAUGUGCGAAAGCGUGGGGAUCAAACAGGAUUAGAUACCCUGGUAGUCCACGCCGUAAACGAUGAGUGCUAAGUGUUAGGGGGUUUCCGCCCCUUAGUGCUGCAGCUAACGCAUUAAGCACUCCGCCUGGGGAGUACGACCGCAAGGUUGAAACUCAAAGGAAUUGACGGGGACCCGCACAAGCGGUGGAGCAUGUGGUUUAAUUCGAAGCAACGCGAAGAACCUUACCAAAUCUUGACAUCCUUUGACAACUCUAGAGAUAGAGCCUUCCCCUUCGGGGGACAAAGUGACAGGUGGUGCAUGGUUGUCGUCAGCUCGUGUCGUGAGAUGUUGGGUUAAGUCCCGCAACGAGCGCAACCCUUAAGCUUAGUUGCCAUCAUUAAGUUGGGCACUCUAAGUUGACUGCCGGUGACAAACCGGAGGAAGGUGGGGAUGACGUCAAAUCAUCAUGCCCCUUAUGAUUUGGGCUACACACGUGCUACAAUGGACAAUACAAAGGGCAGCGAAACCGCGAGGUCAAGCAAAUCCCAUAAAGUUGUUCUCAGUUCGGAUUGUAGUCUGCAACUCGACUACAUGAAGCCGGAAUCGCUAGUAAUCGUAGAUCAGCAUGCUACGGUGAAUACGUUCCCGGGUCU